This 304-nucleotide ribosomal RNA is filed under the name uncultured bacterium. RNAcentral's name for it is "partial 16S ribosomal RNA". It matches the Rfam family "Bacterial small subunit ribosomal RNA", at positions 509 to 808 of the family's 1533-position model. The record is from RNAcentral.
CAGCAGCCGCGCGGUAAUACGGAGGGUGCAAGCGUUAAUCGGAAUUACUGGGCGUAAAGCGCACGCAGGCGGUCUGUCAAGUCAGAUGUGAAAUCCCCGGGCUUAACCUGGGAACUGCAUUUGAAACUGGCAGGCUAGAGUCUUGUAGAGGGGGGUAGAAUUCCAGGUGUAGCGGUGAAAUGCGUAGAGAUCUGGAGGAAUACCGGUGGCGAAGGCGGCCCCCUGGACAAAGACUGACGCUCAGGUGCGAAAGCGUGGGGAGCAAACAGGAUUAGAUACCCCGGUAGUCCCUGUCUCUUAUACA